Molecule: ribosomal RNA, 429 nt
Filed under: Pseudohaemophilus parahaemolyticus
Lineage: Bacteria; Pseudomonadati; Pseudomonadota; Gammaproteobacteria; Pasteurellales; Pasteurellaceae
Description: Haemophilus parahaemolyticus bacterial SSU rRNA
Rfam family: Bacterial small subunit ribosomal RNA
Source: RNAcentral
CAGAUUGAACGCUGGCGGCAGGCUUAACACAUGCAAGUCGAACGGUAACAGGGAUUAGCUUGCUAAUCUGCUGACGAGUGGCGGACGGGUGAGUAAUGCUUGGGAAUCUGGCUUAUGGAGGGGGAUAACUACGGGAAACUGUAGCUAAUACCGCGUAAAAUCUUCGGAUUAAAGGGUGGGACUUUCGAGCCACCUGCCAUAAGAUGAGCCCAAGUGGGAUUAGGUAGUUGGUUAGGUAAAGGCUGACCAAGCCGACGAUCUCUAGCUGGUCUGAGAGGAUGACCAGCCACACUGGAACUGAGACACGGUCCAGACUCCUACGGGAGGCAGCAGUGGGGAAUAUUGCACAAUGGGGGGAACCCUGAUGCAGCCAUGCCGCGUGAAUGAAGAAGGCCUUCGGGUUGUAAAGUUCUUUCGGUGACGAGGAAG